CGGAUGAAGGGAGCUUGCUCCUGGAUUCAGCGGCGGACGGGUGAGUAAUGCCUAGGAAUCUGCCUGGUAGUGGGGGAUAACGUCCGGAAACGGGCGCUAAUACCGCAUACGUCCUGAGGGAGAAAGUGGGGGAUCUUCGGACCUCACGCUAUCAGAUGAGCCUAGGUCGGAUUAGCUAGUUGGUGGGGUAAAGGCCUACCAAGGCGACGAUCCGUAACUGGUCUGAGAGGAUGAUCAGUCACACUGGAACUGAGACACGGUCCAGACUCCUACGGGAGGCAGCAGUGGGGAAUAUUGGACAAUGGGCGAAAGCCUGAUCCAGCCAUGCCGCGUGUGUGAAGAAGGUCUUCGGAUUGUAAAGCACUUUAAGUUGGGAGGAAGGGCAGUAAGUUAAUACCUUGCUGUUUUGACGUUACCAACAGAAUAAGCACCGGCUAACUUCGUGCCAGCAGCCGCGGUAAUACGAAGGGUGCAAGCGUUAAUCGGAAUUACUGGGCGUAAAGCGCGCGUAGGUGGUUCAGCAAGUUGGAUGUGAAAUCCCCGGGCUCAACCUGGGAACUGCAUCCAAAACUACUGAGCUAGAGUACGGUAGAGGGUGGUGGAAUUUCCUGUGUAGCGGUGAAAUGCGUAGAUAUAGGAAGGAACACCAGUGGCGAAGGCGACCACCUGGACUGAUACUGACACUGAGGUGCGAAAGCGUGGGGAGCAAACAGGAUUGGAUAUCCUGGUAGUCCACGCCGUAAACGAUGU
This 750-nucleotide ribosomal RNA is filed under the name uncultured Pseudomonadales bacterium. RNAcentral's name for it is "bacterial SSU rRNA". It matches the Rfam family "Bacterial small subunit ribosomal RNA", at positions 67 to 812 of the family's 1533-position model. The record is from RNAcentral. Lineage: Bacteria; Pseudomonadati; Pseudomonadota; Gammaproteobacteria; Pseudomonadales.